Molecule: small RNA, 479 nt
Filed under: Arabidopsis thaliana (thale cress)
Lineage: Eukaryota; Viridiplantae; Streptophyta; Magnoliopsida; Brassicales; Brassicaceae
Description: ATSL272070
Source: RNAcentral
AAUUUGGUACAAAGCUGAUGUGGCAUUUGGAGAGAGUCUUUAGAAAUAGCUGAUGUGGAUGGCUUCAGAAUCCUCAAACAACUCCUUUUAUUAGUAGUAGAUUAAAUUCUUGUGUUAUUAGAAUAAGUAUUUGUAAUCAUUCUUGAUAUAUCCAUAUUUUCACUGAUUUUAUCUAUGUUUUAGGUAUAUGAUUUUGAGUCUUUAUGUUAUUUCUCGAGUCUUUUUAGUGUCUUUUCAGGUAUUCUAUGCAAUGAGACAACAAUGGAGAUGAGGAGACAUUUUGGAGCAAAAGCUAAGGAAAAGAAAGCUAAAGACAAUUUUGGAUUCAGGAAUCGGAGAGAGUGUCAAUCGACACACUCCUGGUGUCGAUCGACACCAUUUUCGGCGCAGCAAAGUCCAUGACGCUUUCAAAUUUAUAGAAGAGGAAAUUUGCUCUAGAAGACUUCCUUAUUUGCAUUAUUAGUCCCUCGACUUUUCAU